CCAGAGGGCCAGGCGGCCGCGGCGUGGCGGGUAACUUCCACGGCGAGGAAAGUCCGGGCUCCACGAAAUGACGGUGCCGGCUAACGGCCGGCUGGAGUGAUCCAAGGGACAGUGCAACAGAAAGCAGGUCGCUAAGGCUUCGGCCCAGCGAAAUUGAAAGGGUGCGGUAAGAGCGCACCGCGUCUCCGGCAACGGAAGGCGGCACGGUAAACCCCACCGGGAGCAAGACCGAAUAGGGGCGGCGCGCAGGCAGUUCGAAAGGACUGUGCUGCUAGGCCUAUUUCGGCUGAGACCGUCCGGGUUGGUUGCUUGAGGGGCGGAGCAAUCCGUCCCCUAGAGGAAUGGCCGCCCAUCCCCGGCAACGGGGUGGACAGAACCCGGCUUACAGGCCCUCUGGUAUU
RNAcentral lists this RNase P RNA (401 nucleotides) under Sphingobium vermicomposti. RNAcentral's name for it is "Sphingomonas sp. VC-230 Bacterial RNase P class A". It matches the Rfam family "Bacterial RNase P class A". From Rfam's summary of the family: Ribonuclease P (RNase P) is a ubiquitous endoribonuclease, found in archaea, bacteria and eukarya as well as chloroplasts and mitochondria. Its best characterised activity is the generation of mature 5'-ends of tRNAs by cleaving the 5'-leader elements of precursor-tRNAs. The record is from Rfam by way of RNAcentral. Lineage: Bacteria; Pseudomonadati; Pseudomonadota; Alphaproteobacteria; Sphingomonadales; Sphingobiaceae.